GAUGAAGAACGCAGCGAAAUGCGAUAAGUAAUGUGAAUUGCAGAAUUCCGUGAAUCAUCGAAUCUUUGAACGCACAUUGCGCCCUCUGGUAUUCCGGGGGGCAUGCCUGUCCGAGCGUCAUUGCAAACCCUCAAGCCCGGCUUGUGUGAUGGGUCCCGCCGCCCCGGCGGGCCCUAAAGUCAGUGGCGGUGCCGUCCGGCUCCGAGCGUAGUAAUUCUUCUCGCUCUGGAGGUCCGGUCGUGUGCUCGCCAGCAACCCCCAAUUUUUUUCAGGUUGACCUCGGAUCAGGUAGGGAUACCCGCUGAACUUAAGCAUAUCAAUAAGCGGAGGA
This 331-nucleotide unclassified non-coding RNA is filed under the name soil metagenome. Its description in RNAcentral is "partial contains 5.8S ribosomal RNA, internal transcribed spacer 2, and large subunit ribosomal RNA". The stretch from base 1 to 120 matches the Rfam family "5.8S ribosomal RNA", at positions 35 to 154 of the family's 154-position model. The record is from RNAcentral.